Molecule: ribosomal RNA, 1698 nt
Filed under: metagenome
Description: bacterial LSU rRNA
Rfam family: Bacterial large subunit ribosomal RNA
Source: RNAcentral
AAAUAACAUACCGAAGCUGCGGAUUCCAUCGAGAUUCGUCUUGAUGGUAUGGUAGGAGAGCGUAAUCAAUGCCUUGAAGCCAGACGGAAACGAAUGGUGGAGCGUUGAUUAGUGAGAAUGCAGACACGAGUAGCGAUAAACCAGAUGAGAAUUCUGGUCGCCGUAAACCUAAGGUUUCCUGGGGCAGGUUCGUCCUCCCAGGGUUAGUCGGGAGCUAAGGCGAGGCCGUAAGGCGUAGUCGAUGCACAGCAGGUUAAUAUUCCUGCACCGGCUAGGGUUAAGGCACGAGAUGACGCAGAGAGAAAAGUGAUUACGUCAAUGAAAGACAGAGCCUAGGCUUCGGCCAAAGCGCAUCACCAGACAAUCUGCCUAGAAAAGUUUCGUGUUGUUCCCCUGGUCGCCCGUACCGUAAACCGACACAGGUGGGUGAGUCGAAUAGACUAAGGCGCGCGGGAGAAACCUCUCUAAGGAACUCGGCACAUUAGCCCCGUAACUUCGGGAAAAGGGGUGCCCGAAACCGUUGCAGCAAUGUAGCGGCGGCGGGCCACAGUAAAUUGCGUUUAGCGACUGUUUAACAAAAACACAGCACUCUGCCAAGUCGUGAAGACGACGUAUAGGGUGUGACACGUGACCAAUGCGGAAAGAUUAAGAGGUUUUGUUAGCCGCAAGGCGAAGCUCGGCCUUUAAGUCCCCGUGAAUGUCGGCCGUAACUAUAACGGUCCUAAGGUAGCGAAAUUCCUUGUCGGGUAAGUUCCGACCUGCACGAAUCGUGUAACGACUGAACGACUGUCUCGGAGAGGAUCUCGGCGAAACUGUAACGGCGGUGAAGAUGCCGCCUGCCCGCAGUAGGACGGAAAGACCCUAUGCACCUUUACUGUAAGCUGGUACUGUGUUCUGGUUAAUGAUGCGUAGCGUAGGUGGGAGACUUUGAAGCCCUGAUUUAGGUCAGGGUGGAGUCGCAAUGUGAAACACCACUCUUCGUUAAUUAAGAUUCUAACCCCAAGCUGUUAGCCAGCUGGGGGACAAUGCCUGCGGGUCAGUUUGACUGGGGCGGUUUCCUCCCAAAGGGUAACGGAGGAGCGCGAAGCUUGGCUCAGCACGGUUGGCAAUUGUGCGUCGAGCGUAUGGGUAGAAGCCAGGUUAACUGUGAGACCAACAAGUCGAGCAGGUGCGAAAGCAGGCCCAAAUGAUCCGAUGGUUUAAUGUGGAAUUGCCAUCGCUCAACGGACAAAAGGUACGCUAGGGAUAACAGGCUGAUCGAUUCCAAGAGUUCAUAUCGACGAAUCGGUUUGGCACCUCGAUGUCGGCUCAUCGCAUCCUGGGGCUGGAGAAGGUCCCAAGGGUCCGGCUGUUCGCCGGUUAAAGCGGUACGCGAGCUGGGUUCAGAACGUCGUGAGACAGUUCGGUCCUUAUCCACUGUGGGCGUAGGAAACUUGAGGGGUUCAUUCUCUAGUACGAGAGGACCGAGAAUGACGCACUUCUGGUGUGGCAGUUGUUCCGUCAGGAGCAGCGCUGCGUAGCCAUGUGCGGAAGAGAUAAGCGCUGAAAGCAUCUAAGUGCCAAGCUCCUCCCAAGAUAUGGUUUCCCGGACGCAAGUCCCUAAAGACCCCAAGUAGACUACUUGGUUGAUAGGCUGGACGUGUACGAGCCGUAAGGCUUUCAGCCGACCAGUACUAAUCGGUCGUGCGGCUUGAUCGC